RNAcentral lists this ribosomal RNA (651 nucleotides) under Ankistrodesmus falcatus. Its description in RNAcentral is "large subunit ribosomal RNA". It matches the Rfam family "Bacterial large subunit ribosomal RNA", at positions 15 to 705 of the family's 2925-position model. Lineage: Eukaryota; Viridiplantae; Chlorophyta; Chlorophyceae; Sphaeropleales; Selenastraceae. The record is from RNAcentral.
AUGCACGAUGUGGAUGCCUUGGUACCUAUUUACAGGACGUUUGACUACGAAAAGCCAUUCACAAUUUAUUGAAUGGAUCUCCUAAGGGAAACCCAUAAGGUUUAAAAUCUGCCACAGGAAACCUCCGAGAGCAGUUUUAUGAAAAUCAACCGAGAAACCGGAAGUAGCGGUGAGCGAAACCGGCAUCUGUAGGCCUUCGUAUUUAUAGAUCGUGGUAUCUAUUCAAUAAACUGUCCCCGAAACCGUGUUUUAUUCUUGAAAGAAAAUAAAACCCUAUAAUGGUUGGAAAACGGUUGCCAAAGAAGGUGAAAGCCCCGUAGGGAAAUUAUAGACAGACUUUUUUCUAACACUUUUUGAUAGAAAAUAUAUAAGGAAAAAUUCCAUAGGAAUUUGUAAAGGGGGAACCACCCUCCAAACUAGGAAAGAUAGGUAACCGAUAGUGAACCAGUACCGUGAGGGAAAGGUGAAAAGAACAACCUCUGGUUGUAGUGAAAUAGAACUGAAACCUCGUGCAAAAAUCCACUUGGAUGCUUUUUAGAGUUCCAAGGUGCCUUUUGCAACAUGAUCAUGCGAGCUUUUUGGAGCAGCUGCUUAACUCUGUAGAGGUAGGCCUGUUUAAACAAAAAUAUAUAAAGAUGAUACAGAUUGUUU